Molecule: ribosomal RNA, 434 nt
Filed under: uncultured bacterium
Lineage: Bacteria
Description: partial 16S ribosomal RNA
Rfam family: Bacterial small subunit ribosomal RNA
Source: RNAcentral
AGCGAACGCUGGCGGCAGGCCUAACACAUGCAAGUCGAACGAACCUUUCGGGGUUAGUGGCGGACGGGGGAGUAACACGUGGGAACGUGCCUUUAGGUUCGGAAUAACUCAGGGAAACUUGUGCUAAUACCGAAUGUGCCCUUCGGGGGAAAGAUUUAUCGCCUUUAGAGCGGCCCGCGUCUGAUUAGCUAGUUGGGUGAGGUAAUGGCUCACCAAGGCGACGAUCAGUAGCUGGUCUGAGAGGAUGAUCAGCCACAUUGGGACUGAGACACGGCCCAAACUCCUACGGGAGGCAGCAGUGGGGAAUCUUGCGCAAUGGGCGAAAGCCUGACGCAGCCAUGCCGCGUGAAUGAUGAAGGUCUUAGGAUUGUAAAAUUCUUUCACCGGGGACGAUAAUGACGGUACCCGGAGAAGAAGCCCCGGCUAACUUCGUG